This 479-nucleotide ribosomal RNA is filed under the name uncultured bacterium. RNAcentral describes it as "bacterial SSU rRNA". It matches the Rfam family "Bacterial small subunit ribosomal RNA", at positions 330 to 801 of the family's 1533-position model. The record is from RNAcentral.
ACCGUACUCCUACGGGAGGCAGCAGUGGGGAAUUUUGGACAAUGGGGGCAACCCUGAUCCAGCAAUGCCGCGUGAGUGAAGAAGGCCUUCGGGUUGUAAAGCUCUUUUGUCAGGGAAGAAACGGUAGUAGCUAAUAUCUAUUACUAAUGACGGUACCUGAAGAAUAAGCACCGGCUAACUACGUGCCAGCAGCCGCGGUAAUACGUAGGGUGCAAGCGUUAAUCGGAAUUACUGGGCGUAAAGCGUGCGCAGGCGGUUGUGUAAGUCAGAUGUGAAAUCCCCGGGCUCAACCUGGGAAUUGCAUUUGAGACUGCACGGCUGGAGUGUGUCAGAGGGGGGUAGAAUUCCACGUGUAGCAGUGAAAUGCGUAGAUAUGUGGAGGAAUACCGAUGGCGAAGGCAGCCCCCUGGGGUAACACUGACGCUCAUGCACGAAAGCGUGGGGAGCAAACAGGAUUAGAUACCCCAGUAGUCCUUGAC